Molecule: ribosomal RNA, 511 nt
Filed under: uncultured bacterium
Lineage: Bacteria
Description: bacterial SSU rRNA
Rfam family: Bacterial small subunit ribosomal RNA
Source: RNAcentral
GAUCCUGGCUUAGGAUGAACGCUAGCGACAGGCUUAACACAUGCAAGUCGAGGGGCAGCAUAAAAGUAGCAAUACUUGGUGGCGACCGGCGCACGGGUGAGUAACGCGUAUGCAACCUACCUAUCAGAGGGGAAUAACCCGGCGAAAGUCGGACUAAUACCGCAUAAAACAGGGACACCGCAUGGUGAUAUUUGUUAAAGAAAUUCGCUGAUAGAUGGGCAUGCGUUCCAUUAGGUAGUUGGUGAGGUAACGGCUCACCAAGCCGACGAUGGAUAGGGGAACUGAGAGGUUGGUCCCCCACACUGGUACUGAGACACGGACCAGACUCCUACGGGAGGCAGCAGUGAGGAAUAUUGGUCAAUGGGCGAGAGCCUGAACCAGCCAAGUCCGCGUGAAGGAAGAAGGAUCUAUGGUUCGUAAACUUCUUUUGCAGGGGAAUAAAGUGCAGGACGUGUCCUGUUUUGUAUGUACCCUGAGAAUAAGGAUCGGCUAACUCCGUGCCAGCCGCCGC